RNAcentral lists this ribosomal RNA (440 nucleotides) under uncultured bacterium. RNAcentral describes it as "partial 16S ribosomal RNA". It matches the Rfam family "Bacterial small subunit ribosomal RNA", at positions 338 to 795 of the family's 1533-position model. The record is from RNAcentral.
CCUACGGGUGGCAGCAGUGGGGAAUAUUGCACAAUGGAGGAAACCCUGAUGCAGCGACGCCGCGUGAGUGAAGAAGUAUUUCUGUAUGUAAAGCUGUUUCAGCAGGGAAGAAAAUGACGAUACCUGACCAAGAAUCCCCGUCUAACUACGUUCCAGCAGCCGCGGUAAUACGUCGGGGGCAAGCGUUAUCCGGAUGUACUGGGUGUAAAGGGAGCGUAGACGGCAGGGCAAGUCUGGAGUGAAAGGCGGGGGCUCAACCCCCGGACUGCUCUGGAAACUGCGCGGCUGGAGAGCAGGAGAGGUAAGUGGAAUUCAUGGUGUAGCGGUGAAAUGCGUAGAUAUUAGGCGGAACACCAGUGGCGAAGGCGGCUUACUGGACUGUAACUGACGUUGAGGCUCGAAAGCGUGGGGAGCAAACAGGAUUAGAUACCCUUGUAGUC